UACGUAGGGGGCAAGCGUUGUCCGGAUUUAUUGGGCGUAAAGAGCGUGUAGGCGGCCAAACAGGUCAGCUGUGAAAACUCGAGGCUCAACCUCGAGACGUCGGUUGAAACCGUUUGGCUAGAGUCCGGAAGAGGAGAGUGGAAUUCCCGGUGUAGUGGUGAAAUGCGCAGAUAUCGGGAAGAGCACCCGUGGCGAAGGCGGCUCUCUGGGACGGUACUGACGCUGAGACGCGAAAGCGUGGGGAGCGAACAGG
RNAcentral lists this ribosomal RNA (253 nucleotides) under uncultured bacterium. RNAcentral's name for it is "partial 16S ribosomal RNA". It matches the Rfam family "Bacterial small subunit ribosomal RNA", at positions 524 to 776 of the family's 1533-position model. The record is from RNAcentral.